This 596-nucleotide long non-coding RNA is filed under the name Ananas comosus (pineapple). Its description in RNAcentral is "long non-coding RNA (ACOM_LNC023164)". The record is from RNAcentral. Lineage: Eukaryota; Viridiplantae; Streptophyta; Magnoliopsida; Poales; Bromeliaceae.
CUAAUACAAAAAUGGUGGUCACUAGUACACUGGUAAAACUCUCAACCUCUCCAAAAUAAAACACAACGAGAGGUAGACCACCUAGCGAAUCGUCCUCAAGGGAAGCUAGCUCGAAGCAACUCCCUUCCCGCGGUCCCUGGCCUCACCCUGAGUGGAAGGCUCUGAAAAACAUCGAGAAAAAGAGGGCGUGAGAACUAUAAUUUAUAGUUCCCAGUGGGCAAUUACUGACCUCAGCUCCUGCCCCACUAGGCCCCAAAAAUAAGGGUAAGUAAUGCCAAUAGCAAUAAGCAAUAAAAAGGAGCAUGUAAAUAAACUGCUGCAAGAAAGUGCAUAAAUAAAAUGCUAUACUACUAUAUUCCUCAUAAGCACGGUGUCAAAAUGUUGCACAUCUAUUCUAUCAUAAGGAAAGGUAACCAAUGGCAAUAGUUUACUGUUACAACCCUUUAUUCAAACACGGUGUAUAAGCUCUAUCAUGGCAACCAAGUAUACUGUGAUGAAAUAGGUAACUGUCAAGUAUACUACGUGUCUCAACCCUAUGCUAUAUGCAUGUAAAUGUAAUCCAACUACUAAGUCUAUCUAGUAGUGAUUGUUCAUUU